CCCUACGGGGCGCAGCAGUGAGGAAUAUUGGUCAAUGGUCGGGAGACUGAACCAGCCAAGCCGCGUGAGGGAUGAAGGUACAGAGUAUCGUAAACCUCUUUUGUCAGGGAACAAAGGCGGGGACGUGUCCCCGGAUGAGUGUACCUGAAGAAAAAGCAUCGGCUAACUCCGUGCCAGCAGCCGCGGUAAUACGGAGGAUGCGAGCGUUAUCCGGAUUUAUUGGGUUUAAAGGGUGCGCAGGCGGUCUGUUAAGUCAGCGGUCGAAGCCCGGGGCUCAACCCUGGCCCGCCGUUGAAACUGGCAGU
This 305-nucleotide ribosomal RNA is filed under the name uncultured bacterium. Its description in RNAcentral is "bacterial SSU rRNA". It matches the Rfam family "Bacterial small subunit ribosomal RNA", at positions 337 to 640 of the family's 1533-position model. The record is from RNAcentral.